GAGUUGAUUCAUGAUUAGGAAAGGUGAAAUAUGAGCACAGAAAGUCACAUGCUGAGAUCUCUUUCUCUCCCCAUCCCUAUACAUGCCACUUCCUCCAAAACUUGAAAUCUAAUACCUCACUAUAAAUAUAUACAGUGAAUCCAGCUAUGGCCAGGCUGGUUUUAAUCUUUUAAUCUGCUGGAGGGCCAAUUUCUGGGAUAGAAAAAAUAAGAUACUAAAGCAUGAGAUACAGGGUCAUUGGUACAAUGUAAGCAUUUAUUAAACAUAUUCUUCAAGGAACCGGAGGUGAGAAAUGUAAGAAGGAAAAAGGAGAGAUAGGGUCCUGUAAGUCACCGACCAUCUUGGAUGGCAGUUUGUUGAAGUCUCUGUUUAACUGCCAACUGCCCCAUAAAGGCUUCCAGGGCAUUCUUCAGUGGAAGGAUUCUCUCACCGGCUGCAGCACUUUCUCAUUCUUUCUCACCCUGGAGUGUUUGUCCAGCUUACUCAUGAGCUUAUUCUUGAGGUGCACCCACCACUAGAAUUUGAACAUCCUAAGAACAGGUAUUUUUGUCUCUGCUUUGCUGAUGUAUCCUCAGCAACCGGAACUGCCUGACAUCUGAUCCUUUCUGUGAGACACCAGGCUGUUGAGGAAGAAUCUAUGGCAACAUUGUAUCUAUUAAUAUACAGCUUCUGUAUUUAUCAGGCCCAGUUCUGGUGAUGAUUUCACUUUUGACAGAAGCUGUCCCUCAAAAGCAAACAUGCAAUAGAAGAAACAGAUCUCAGCAAUGGUGCAAGACCCACUCGAGCACGCUCAGCUAUCAUAUGGAAAAAACAAAAACACCACAUUUGCCUUAUUAUACACACAGAACCAACAGCUCUUUCUGAGAUUUGCUUGAUGAAUAACAUAUCCUCCUGGCUUCCCUUUCUAAGACUUAUCUAUAUUUUUAAACAAGCUAAAGUGUUAUCAGCUGAGGCAGAAUGUAAAAUGAAAUUUUGCUGCACAUACCCAGAAGGACACAGGCAUUGUAGGAAUACAGUUUUACUGUGGGAGAGAUUUUUACAGCAGAUCAAUAACAGAAUACUUUAUAUGGACACAACAGAGGAUUUUAGAUAACUUUUGACUCUAGUUUGUUAUUCCUACAAUUAUACCAACAUAUACUUUGCCCUUUUACCAACCCCUUUCUCCAUGUCUUUCUGCUCAUGAUGGUCUUAGAAAAGAGUGGCCUUUUUCAUUAGAGAUAAAUCUCCCAAAUGAUCACCCAUGUCUAUGCCUACAGCACACAGACAGCAUCCUCUGCUAUGUCCUUAGCUAUUUAUACAGAGGUCACCACCAAUCAACAGUGCCUUGAUCUCAAUAGCCACAGUAACUGAAUAAGUAGUUCUAGUUGUACAGAUUAAUCCAGGAUUCUAAGUUUUAAAGGAAUGUUAAUGCCACAGCAAUAACAGCUCUAUUAUUAUUUUUUAUGUCAUAAUAUGGUAGAAGUAACCCAAUUCUUGCAUUCCAAGGUGAAAUGAAGCUGUAUUCUACGUCAGAUAGAUGGAGCACUUGCUGACACUGACAACCACCUCUCCCAGUUUCAUUAAACUACCUUAGUUGAAUAAGCAUAACAUUUUCCCUUUUGGUAGUACCAGGUAAGAGGCUGGUAUAAAGUCAUACAUUAAUGAGGUUACUAAAAGGACAUUUUCAAAACCUUCUACCAUACGGCCACGUACAGUACAAUUGAAGGGUGCUAUCAAUAGCAUCAGAGUAGUGGCUGCCUCUGUACAUAACAUACAAUCCAGUAUAAAAGAUCACUAACAAACUGUUUUAAAGUCUUACAUGGCACAACUGAAGAGUUUCUAUUCUUUUCUUUGUUACACUCUUUCUGAGCACUGAAACAUUCCACAUAUUUUGCAUUACACUGUGUGACCAGCUGAAAAAGAAAAAACAUUUUAGUCUUCAUUCAAAGAUAUAAUUGAUAGCAUUUGCUUGAUGCUUUGGCAAAAAUCCCAAUCAGAUUACUGAUAAACAAGACCAUUUCUGUGCCACAAAGAACCUUUUAAGACACAGGGUCUUGCUCUCUUGCCCAGGCUGGAGUGCAGUGGCAUGAUUGUAGCUCACUGUUAACUGUGAUCCUCCCACCUCAGCCUCCUGAGUAGUUAGGACCACAGGUGCAUCAGCACAACCAGCCAGUUUUUAAAAUUGUUUAUAGAAUUGGGGUCUUCCUGUGUUUCCCAGGCUGCUCUGGGAUUACAGAUGUAAUCUACCAUGCCCAGCCCCAGAGAACACUCUUGUGCUUUCCUAGUGGUACUUCUCUCAGUGACCUUGAUUGUAUCUUUCUUAUUUCUACUAUCAGGUAGAAAUAGAUACUGUGUGCAAUAGAUAUUUCUAGAACUAUGUGGAUUCUUCUGUUAUGUGAUGUCACUGCUGCUGUGAAUUUUUUUCUGUGAUUCCUCACUGGCAUAAAAGACCUACGUGAGUCUACAUUAAAAAAGAUUGCUUAAUGCUAUUUAUUACGAGCUAAUCAAGUUUCUUGAAGAUAAAGGAGUACCUAACUAGUUCUCAGUACAUUUCUGUUGAACUGAACUAACAUUGUUCUAAGGCUUUUAUAAGUAACCAGCCCAGUAGUUUGAUUAUUAUUCCUGUUUAUGUAGCUUGGUUGAACCAUUUUGUCAAUCCUAUUUUUGGGGGGCUGGCAUCCAUCCUAAUGGAGUAUAUGAGAUCAGUGUUCUUCUCCAGAUGCUUUAGUAAAACUCAUGGUCCCUGGAUAUAAUUUUCA
Long non-coding RNA from Pan troglodytes (chimpanzee), 2738 nucleotides. RefSeq lists it as uncharacterized. The record is from RefSeq and is a predicted model, not a curated record. The transcript is spliced from 5 exons. NCBI's taxonomy places the organism in Eukaryota, Metazoa, Chordata, Mammalia, Primates, Hominidae.